This 72-nucleotide transfer RNA is filed under the name Camelus bactrianus (Bactrian camel). It matches the Rfam family "tRNA". From Rfam's summary of the family: Transfer RNA (tRNA) molecules are approximately 80 nucleotides in length. Their secondary structure includes four short double-helical elements and three loops (D, anti-codon, and T loops). Further hydrogen bonds mediate the characteristic L-shaped molecular structure. tRNAs have two regions of fundamental functional importance: the anti-codon, which is responsible for specific mRNA codon recognition, and the 3' end, to which the tRNAs corresponding amino acid is attached (by aminoacyl-tRNA synthetases). tRNAs cope with the degeneracy of the genetic code in two manners: having more than one tRNA (with a specific anti-codon) for a particular amino acid; and 'wobble' base-pairing, i.e. permitting non-standard base-pairing at the 3rd anti-codon position. The record is from Rfam by way of RNAcentral. RNAcentral also lists the same sequence under 1 other name. Lineage: Eukaryota; Metazoa; Chordata; Mammalia; Artiodactyla; Camelidae.
GUAUAUAUAGCUCAGUGGUAGAGCGCAUGCUUAGCAUGCACGAGGUCCUGGGUUCAAUCCCCAGUAUCUGCA